RNAcentral lists this ribosomal RNA (428 nucleotides) under uncultured bacterium. RNAcentral describes it as "partial 16S ribosomal RNA". It matches the Rfam family "Bacterial small subunit ribosomal RNA", at positions 354 to 796 of the family's 1533-position model. The record is from RNAcentral.
GUAGGGAAUAUUGCGCAAUGGGGGAAACCCUGACGCAGCGACGCCGCGUGAGUGAUGAAGGCCUUCGGGUCGUAAAGCUCUGUUGCACGGGAAUAAAAAAAUGAAGGUACCCUGUGAGGAAGGAUCGGCUAACUUCGUGCCAGCAGCCGCGGUAAGACGAGGGAUCCUAGCGUUGCUCGGAAUCAUUGGGCGUAAAGAGGGCGUAGGUGGCUUGGUAAGUCAGGUGUGAAAGCCCAGGGCUCAACCCUGGAAGUGCAUUUGAUACUGCUGAGCUUGAGUGUCGGAGAGGUUACCGGAAUACCUGGUGUAGUGGUGAAAUACGUAGAUAUCAGGUGGAACACCGGAGGCGAAGGCGGGUAACUGGACGAACACUGACACUGAGGCCCGAAAGCGUGGGGAUCAAACAGGAUUAGAAACCCGUGUAGUCC